RNAcentral lists this long non-coding RNA (731 nucleotides) under Macaca nemestrina (pig-tailed macaque). Its description in RNAcentral is "lncRNA (ENSMNEG00000045629.1)". The record is from RNAcentral. Lineage: Eukaryota; Metazoa; Chordata; Mammalia; Primates; Cercopithecidae.
UAGUUAAAAAUACUGUUUUUUUUUCUUGCUGAAUAUUUACUUAGGGAAAUUGGUUUGUGUCUGUGGCAAAGGAAUUCAACAAUGUUUUCUUUCAUUUUCAGGUCACACGAUUUUAAGAAAAUAGAAGACUAUCAUUUACAGCUGGUGUGGCCCUGUGGCGGUGUGGACCCAGAUUUCAAGCACAGAGGAAGAUCAGACACUGAUGUCCCGCAUCUGAUAUGUAUAUAGCACAAUUCUCAAUUAUCCUUUGAUUGUGUUUUACUCCCUUCUGUACAAUAGACUCAUUUUUAAAGCAAAAGUUGAAGAAAGUGAACAAAAACAGCAGUGGAAAGUUCAUAAAAGACAAAAUGAAGAAUUCAGAGCCCAAUCCUAACCUCAAGCCAAGAAGUAAGAAAAGGAAGAAAAAAUCAAGAAACUCAGAACAGAACCCCAGCAACAUUGAACCAAGGAGCAUGGACUCUCAGGCUGUUCAUAGAUUUCAGGAUCUUUUCCACUACUUCCACAGGCAGAUAGAGGGCCAUCCCCACCACCGUCUCUACCACCACCGUCUCUUCCCAGAGGAGUUUUUACUCUUCCUCCAACUCCUUUACCUGAGCUAAGUGGUAAACCAUCAUCAUCACCAUCACCUUUGGAGACCUCCUCUACCACCACCUUUGUUGAGAGACCUACUCUCCAGGAUCCCCACCUGCUCUGUCUUAUGGAGUGAAACAGAAAUAAAUGUGUAAGACUCA